Long non-coding RNA from Mycetomoellerius zeteki, 941 nucleotides. RefSeq lists it as uncharacterized. NCBI's taxonomy places the organism in Eukaryota, Metazoa, Arthropoda, Insecta, Hymenoptera, Formicidae. The record is from RefSeq and is a predicted model, not a curated record. The transcript has 3 exons.
UUUCCAAUCGAAUAAAUCUUAAAAUCUGUGAUGAACAUUGAAUAAAUCAUUAAAAAGAAAUCACUGAAGAAGUCUGUGGUAAAAAGAUUAAUCUAAUCGGCGCGAUUUUAUCCAAUUUUUACGAUCUCUUUCGAGAGGCGCUUAUUUAUAUCGUAGCAUUUUCUAUCGCACGCACACACGCUGUACGACAAGGCUAACACAACUUCCUUUUAACAAUACUAUAUAGAUUUAUAUAUGUGUACGAUGCGAAACUGAGCCACUCUGUGCGAGGGGAAAAGGGGAGACAGAGUUAUUAUAACAGCUCGAGGUGUCCUUCACUGUACAGUUGCAAGAAUUACGCUUUAGAGACGAAAAUUAUAUGACCAAUGUAAAAUAAAAAAAUAUCGGAAGAAUAUAUAUGUAAAUAUAUACAUAUAUUUACACAUGGCACGUAUACACAGGAAGCGUGUUAAUGCGAGAGUGGCGCGAAUAAAUCGUUCGAUUCUCGCCCUUCUUCUGCGCGAAAGGACUCUACCGUAUGCGAUUACAUUCCUGUGUCAUAUCGCUACGGAUGUACUCUCGAUCGGACGUUUACCCAAAUAAAUCGACCGGCACAUGUAUCGCAAGACAAUUAGGCGCAAAUGCGAUUACAUCAAGAGACUAAGAUGUGUAUCAGCUGUAUAAGGCGAUGCAAGCGAAACGAAGAGAAAAAUGUAGAUUGAAGCGAGAAAGGGUAGAGUAAAGCGAAGCGAAAUGAAGUAACCUUAUAUAUGUGAAGUAUAUAUGUACACAUACCUUUUUCAAGCUCGAGAAGCCACCCGUACAUAAUACCGCGUAGAUCUCCUUCUCGAAACCCAUGCAGACAACGGAGGAGAUGAUGAGGAUCGCGCCUGUUAAACUGGUUGACGUGGGUUUCUCGCCGAACAGCGCCUUUGUGACCAACACCUGACCGGUAAGGCCAG